CUCCUCUCAGGGUCGCACCUGGAGAGUUUUCCGUACCCUACCAGUCUCGGCUAUGGGAGGGAGAGUCAAGCGGAGAUCUGUCCGUUCCAUUCCUAGCUUGGCCAGUGGCUAGCGAGCGGAAGGCCAUCUGCUACAAGU
Molecule: small nucleolar RNA, 138 nt
Organism: Ornithorhynchus anatinus (platypus)
Lineage: Eukaryota; Metazoa; Chordata; Mammalia; Monotremata; Ornithorhynchidae
Source: RefSeq, a predicted model, not a curated record